AUGUUGAACAUGAUGGGGACACAGAUGAGGAUGAAUCAGAGGAGGAGGACAAAGAGGAGGAUGACAAAGAAGAAGAUGAAUAGGAGGAGGAGGAGGAUGAGUAGGAGGAGGAGGAAGAAGAGGAUAAAGAAGACGAGGAGGACAAAGAAGAAGAGGACAAAGGAGAGGAGGAGGACAAGUAAGAAGAUAAUGAGGCAGAGGAGGAGGAAGAAGAUGAGGCCAAAGAGGGGGAUGGAGACAAAGGUGCAGCAGUUGAUGGCAGUGAGGGGGAAGGAGAUGAUGAGGAUGUUGAUCGUGAUGAUCAAGGGGGAUCCAAUGGAGACAGUGAUAGCACUGAUGACGAUGAUGACAAGGGCCCUGGUUCCGGGGGUACAGGCGGCAACACAACUAGGGCGACUAGCAGCACUGUCAACCCUAGCAGCAGCAACAACUCAAUGA
RNAcentral lists this ribosomal RNA (438 nucleotides) under Triticum aestivum (bread wheat). RNAcentral's name for it is "partial small subunit ribosomal RNA". Lineage: Eukaryota; Viridiplantae; Streptophyta; Magnoliopsida; Poales; Poaceae. The record is from RNAcentral.